Molecule: ribosomal RNA, 862 nt
Filed under: uncultured Thermoplasmatales archaeon
Lineage: Archaea; Methanobacteriati; Thermoplasmatota; Thermoplasmata; Thermoplasmatales
Description: bacterial SSU rRNA
Rfam family: Archaeal small subunit ribosomal RNA
Source: RNAcentral
UAGAAAGAUUCUGGUUGAUCCUGCCGGAGGCCACCGCUAUUGGAAUUCGCCUAAGCCAUGCGAGUCGAGAGGGGUAAGCCCUCGGCGGAUUGCUCAGUAACACGUGGAUAAUCUGCCCUUGGGUGGGGGAUAAGCUCGGGAAACUGAGGAUAAUACCCCAUAGGUAUAGGAGGCUGGAAUGCACUUAUACUAAAAACUACGGUGCCCAAGGAUGGGUCUGCGGCCUAUCAGGUUGUAGUGAGUGUAACGGACUCACUAGCCGACGACGGGUACGGGUCGUGUAAGCGAUCGCCCGGAGAUGGACUCUGAGACAUUAGUCCAGGCCCUACGGGGCGCAGCAGGCGCGAAAACUUCACAAUGCAGGAAACUGCGAUGAGGGGAUUCCAAGUGCUUAUGCAUUGCAUAUGCUGUUCUGAUGCCUAAAAAGCAUUAGAAGUAAGGGCUGGGUAAGUCGGGUGCCAGCCGCCGCGGUAAUACCCGCAGCCCGAGUGGUGGUCGUUAUUAUUGGGCCUACAGCGUCCGUAGCCGGUCCGGUAAAUCUUUGGGUAAAUCGACGAGCUUAACUCGUCGAAUUCCGAAGAGACUGCCGGACUUGGGACUGGGUGAGGUCGGAGGUACUCUAAGAGUAGGGGUGAAAUCCUGUAAUACUUAGAGGACCACCAGUGGCGAAGGCGUCCGACUAGAACGGGUCUGACGGUGAGGGACGAAGCCGUGGGGCGCAAACCGGAUUAGAUACCCGGGUAGUCCACGGUGUAAACGCUGCAGGCUUGGUGUUGGGGGUCCUACGGGGGCGUCCAGUGCCGGAGAGAAGUUGUUAAGCCUGCCGCCUGGGGAGUACGCUCGCAAGAGUGAAACUUAAAGG